AGUACGUGAAACUGCUUAGAGGUUAAGCCCGAUGAACCUGAAUAUCCGUUAUGGAAAAUUCAUCAUUAAUACUAUAAUAUUUAUAAUAUUAUAGAAAUAGUGUGCAAUUUUUCCAUAUAAGGACAUUGUAAUCUGUUAAUGUAAUAAAUACUUAUCAAAAGAUCUUAUACUUAAGUUUAUUCAAAUUAGUUUUUUUCGGAUUGCUAACAUAGAAUAAAUGUAUUUGAUUUGAUAAAUCAUUGACAGAUAUAAUUAUAUAUUGUGCUUAAAUUUUUCGGAAUUUUACAAUGAUAAAUAAAUCUUUUGAGUUAUUUAUUUAAAUUGUAUGCACAAUUAUGAUUAACAAUGCGAUAGAUUCAGGAUACCUUCGGGACCCGUCUUGAAACACGGACCAAGGAGUCUAACAUAUGUGCAAGUCAUUGGGUAUUUUUAAUAAAACCCAAUGGCAUAAUUAACUUAACUGUUAAAAUGGGAUUAGUUUAUAUUUUAUUAUGAAAUAUGAAUUCAAUCCCGGGGCGUUCUAUACAGUUAUGCAUAAUGAUAUUUAUAUUAUUUAUGCCUCUAACUAGAGCGUACCUUGAGC
This 583-nucleotide ribosomal RNA is filed under the name Pseudoplatycheirus sp. MZH S561_2005. Its description in RNAcentral is "eukaryotic LSU rRNA". The record is from RNAcentral. Lineage: Eukaryota; Metazoa; Arthropoda; Insecta; Diptera; Syrphidae.